GAGUGCUGAAGUAUCGAGAGAUGAAGGUGGAGCGAGUUAAGGUUAAGCGAAAGCUAAAUGUUGCGGAAGGAUAAUAAACUAUGAGGGUGCUCAUCAGGGGUUCCCGGUUCUCGAAAAGACAGUAGAGAAGAUCAUGUUGCAUGGCAAUGUGUCGUAAACGCUUAAGCGGCUUAGCUGUAAUUCCUACGUGUGCGGGCGAUAUAGGAUAAAGGCACACCUACA
This 222-nucleotide small RNA is filed under the name uncultured Lachnospira sp. Its description in RNAcentral is "Clostridiales-3 RNA". It matches the Rfam family "Clostridiales-3 RNA". The record is from RNAcentral. Lineage: Bacteria; Bacillati; Bacillota; Clostridia; Lachnospirales; Lachnospiraceae.